Molecule: ribosomal RNA, 253 nt
Filed under: uncultured bacterium
Lineage: Bacteria
Description: partial 16S ribosomal RNA
Rfam family: Bacterial small subunit ribosomal RNA
Source: RNAcentral
CACGGGGGGAGCAAGCGUUGUUCGGAAUCACUGGGCGUAAAGGGCGUGCAGGCGGUCAGGUAAGUGGGAUGUGAAAUGCCCCGGCUCACCCGGGGACCGGCAUCUCAUACUGCUUGGCUUGAGUACGGGAGAGGAUGUGGGAAUUCCUGGUGUAGCGGUGAAAUGCGUAGAUAUUGGGAGGAACACCAGUGGCGAAGGCGGCUCACUGGACCGGUACUGACGCUGAGGCGCGAAAGCGUGGGGAGCAAACAGG